UACGUAGGGUGCAAGCGUUAAUCGGAAUUACUGGGCGUAAAGCGUGCGCAGGCGGUUAUGUAAGACAGUUGUGAAAUCCCCGGGCUCAACCUGGGAACUGCAUCUGUGACUGCAUAGCUAGAGUACGGUAGAGGGGGGAUGGAAUUCCGCGUGUAGCAGUGAAAAUGCGUAGAUAUGCGGAGGGAACACCGAUGGCGAAAGGCAAUCCCCCUGGACCUGUACUGACGCUCAUGCACGAAAAGCGUGGGGGAGCAAACAGG
This 260-nucleotide ribosomal RNA is filed under the name uncultured bacterium. RNAcentral describes it as "partial 16S ribosomal RNA". It matches the Rfam family "Bacterial small subunit ribosomal RNA", at positions 524 to 776 of the family's 1533-position model. The record is from RNAcentral.